RNAcentral lists this ribosomal RNA (495 nucleotides) under uncultured Actinomycetes bacterium. RNAcentral's name for it is "bacterial SSU rRNA". It matches the Rfam family "Bacterial small subunit ribosomal RNA", at positions 355 to 864 of the family's 1533-position model. Lineage: Bacteria; Bacillati; Actinomycetota; Actinomycetes. The record is from RNAcentral.
UGGGGAAUCUUGCACAAUGGGCGCAAGCCUGAUGCAGCAACGCCGCGUGCGGGAAGAAGGCCCUAGGGUUGUAAACCGCUUUCAGCAGGGAAGAAAAUGACGGUACCUGUAGAAGAAGGUGCGGCCAACUACGUGCCAGCAGCCGCGGUGACACGUAGGCACCAAGCGUUGUCCGGAUUUAUUGGGCGUAAAGAGCUUGUAGGCGGUUCGGUUAGUCGGGUGUGAAACCUCUGGGCUCAACUCAGAGACGCCACCCGAUACUGCUGUGACUAGAGUGCGGUAGGGGAGCGGGGAAUUCCUGGUGUAGCGGUGAAAUGCGCAGAUAUCAGGAGGAACACCAGUGGCGAAGGCGCCGCUCUGGGCCGUAACUGACGCUGAGAAGCGAAAGCGUGGGGAGCAAACAGGAUUAGAUACCCUGGUAGUCCACGCCGUAAACGUUGGGCACUAGGUGUGGGUCUCAACCAACGAGAUCCGCGCCGUCGCUAACGCAUUAAG